AUGUUUUUCUUAUUCAGAAAUUGCCAAAGAGCCUAUCUGAGAGUUGUGGUAUCAAGCCUGAUGAAGAAGGCUCUGUUGGAAUACGCCUUACCGCAAGGGGCUCCAUCACCACUUGUGCGUACGGCGUGGACACGGACGGUCGCACACACUUCAACUUGGUUGGGUGGAAGAGCUUCCUCGUCGGCAAGAAUCUUCAUGUUGGACAAGCAAUCCUCAUUACUAUCAGGACAGCCACCGCCCAGGCUUGAGGAUGAUGGUCGUCACCGACAUCAUCUAGAACUUCAUAUGCAUGCGUGUGGAUGUUGA
Molecule: ribosomal RNA, 306 nt
Filed under: Triticum aestivum (bread wheat)
Lineage: Eukaryota; Viridiplantae; Streptophyta; Magnoliopsida; Poales; Poaceae
Description: partial small subunit ribosomal RNA
Source: RNAcentral